RNAcentral lists this ribosomal RNA (470 nucleotides) under Tremoctopus violaceus. Its description in RNAcentral is "partial large subunit ribosomal RNA". It matches the Rfam family "Bacterial large subunit ribosomal RNA", at positions 1851 to 2575 of the family's 2925-position model. The record is from RNAcentral. Lineage: Eukaryota; Metazoa; Mollusca; Cephalopoda; Octopoda; Tremoctopodidae.
AGUUGUACCUGCUCGGUGAAUUGUUUUUAACAGCUGCGGUAUUAUAACUGUACUAAGGUAGCAUAAUAACUUGCCUUAUAAAUUGGGGCUAGAAUGAAUGGUUUGACGAAAGUUAUGCUGUCUCUACUUUAAUUGGUUGAAUUUAAUUUUUAAAGUGAGAAAGCUUAAAUGAUUUAAAGGGACGAGAAGACCCUAUUGAGCUUUAAAUAUUGAUUUAAAUUGGGAAAUAAUUAUUUAAGUUUGAUAAUUUUGGUUGGGGUGAUCAAGGAGUUAGUGAUAUCGUAUCUUCCUUAAAUGAUUGUUGUGAUGAGAAUAUAUGUGUAUAAAUAAACCGAUUUUUUUUGCUAUUAAGAUAAGUUACCAUAGGGAUAACAGCGUAAUUUUUUUUGAGAGUUCAUAUUAAAAAAAGAGAUUGCGACCUCGAUGUUGGAUUAAAAUUACCUUAAGGUGGAGAAGCUUUAUUUGGUGAA